RNAcentral lists this ribosomal RNA (459 nucleotides) under uncultured bacterium. Its description in RNAcentral is "partial 16S ribosomal RNA". It matches the Rfam family "Bacterial small subunit ribosomal RNA", at positions 338 to 795 of the family's 1533-position model. The record is from RNAcentral.
CCUACGGGUGGCAGCAGUGAGGAAUAUUGGUCAAUGGGCGGGAGCCUGAACCAGCCAAGCCGCGUGAGGGAAGAAGGUACAGCGUAUCGUAAACCUCUUUUGUCAGGGAACAAAGGCGGGGACUAGUCCCCGGCUGAGGGUACCUGACGAAAAAGCAUCGGCUAACUCCGUGCCAGCAGCCGCGGUAAAACGGAGGAUUCGAGCGUUAUCCGGAUUUAUUGGGGUUAAAGGGUGCGCAGGCGGAAGAGCAAGUCAGCGGUAAAAUUGAGGGGCUCAACCUCUUCGAGCCGUUGAAACUGGUUGGCUUGAGUGAGCGAGAAGUAGGCGGAAUGCGUGGUGUAGCGGUGAAAUGCAUAGAUAUCACGCAGAACUCCGAUUGCGAAGGCAGCAUACCGGGGCUCAACUGACGCUCAUGCACGAAAGUGUGGGUAUCGAACAGGAUUAGAUACCCGAGUAGUC